GGUUAAGCGACUAAGCGUACACGGUGGAUGCCCUGGCAGUCAGAGGCGAUGAAGGACGUGCUAAUCUGCGAUAAGCGUCGGUAAGGUGAUAUGAACCGUUAUAACCGGCGAUUUCCGAAUGGGGAAACCCAGUGUGAUUCGUCACACUAUCAUUAACUGAAUCCAUAGGUUAAUGAGGCGAACCGGGGGAACUGAAACAUCUAAGUACCCCGAGGAAAAGAAAUCAACCGAGAUUCCCCCAGUAGCGGCGAGCGAACGGGGAGCAGCCCAGAGCCUGAAUCAGUGUGUGUGUUAGUGGAAGCGUCUGGAAAGGCGCGCGAUACAGGGUGACAGCCCCGUACACAAAAAUGCACAUGCUGUGAGCUCGAUGAGUAGGGCGGGACACGUGGUAUCCUGUCUGAAUAUGGGGGGACCAUCCUCCAAGGCUAAAUACUCCUGACUGACCGAUAGUGAACCAGUACCGUGAGGGAAAGGCGAAAAGAACCCCGGCGAGGGGAGUGAAAAAGAACCUGAAACCGUGUACGUACAAGCAGUGGGAGCACAGAGCAAUCUGUGUGACUGCGUACCUUUUGUAUAAUGGGUCAGCGACUUAUAUUCUGUAGCAAGGUUAACCGAAUAGGGGAGCCGAAGGGAAACCGAGUCUUAACUGGGCGUUAAGUUGCAGGGUAUAGACCCGAAACCCGGUGAUCUAGCCAUGGGCAGGUUGAAGGUUGGGUAACACUAACUGGAGGACCGAACCGACUAAUGUUGAAAAAUUAGCGGAUGACUUGUGGCUGGGGGUGAAAGGCCAAUCAAACCGGGAGAUAGCUGGUUCUCCCCGAAAGCUAUUUAGGUAGCGCCUCGUGAAUUCAUCUCCGGGGGUAGAGCACUGUUUCGGCAAGGGGGUCAUCCCGACUUACCAACCCGAUGCAAACUGCGAAUACCGGAGAAUGUUAUCACGGGAGACACACGGCGGGUGCUAACGUCCGUCGUGAAGAGGGAAACAACCCAGACCGCCAGCUAAGGUCCCAAAGUCAUGGUUAAGUGGGAAACGAUGUGGGAAGGCCCAGACAGCCAGGAUGUUGGCUUAGAAGCAGCCAUCAUUUAAAGAAAGCGUAAUAGCUCACUGGUCGAGUCGGCCUGCGCGGAAGAUGUAACGGGGCUAAACCAUGCACCGAAGCUGCGGCAGCGACGCUUAUGCGUUGUUGGGUAGGGGAGCGUUCUGUAAGCCUGCGAAGGUGUGCUGUGAGGCAUGCUGGAGGUAUCAGAAGUGCGAAUGCUGACAUAAGUAACGAUAAAGCGGGUGAAAAGCCCGCUCGCCGGAAGACCAAGGGUUCCUGUCCAACGUUAAUCGGGGCAGGGUGAGUCGACCCCUAAGGCGAGGCCGAAAGGCGUAGUCGAUGGGAAACAGGUUAAUAUUCCUGUACUUGGUGUUACUGCGAAGGGGGGACGGAGAAGGCUAUGUUGGCCGGGCGACGGUUGUCCCGGUUUAAGCGUGUAGGCUGGUUUUCCAGGCAAAUCCGGAAAAUCAAGGCUGAGGCGUGAUGACGAGGCACUACGGUGCUGAAGCAACAAAUGCCCUGCUUCCAGGAAAAGCCUCUAAGCAUCAGGUAACAUCAAAUCGUACCCCAAACCGACACAGGUGGUCAGGUAGAGAAUACCAAGGCGCUUGAGAGAACUCGGGUGAAGGAACUAGGCAAAAUGGUGCCGUAACUUCGGGAGAAGGCACGCUGAUAUGUAGGUGAAGUCCCUCGCGGAUGGAGCUGAAAUCAGUCGAAGAUACCAGCUGGCUGCAACUGUUUAUUAAAAACACAGCACUGUGCAAACACGAAAGUGGACGUAUACGGUGUGACGCCUGCCCGGUGCCGGAAGGUUAAUUGAUGGGGUCAGCGCAAGCGAAGCUCUUGAUCGAAGCCCCGGUAAACGGCGGCCGUAACUAUAACGGUCCUAAGGUAGCGAAAUUCCUUGUCGGGUAAGUUCCGACCUGCACGAAUGGCGUAAUGAUGGCCAGGCUGUCUCCACCCGAGACUCAGUGAAAUUGAACUCGCUGUGAAGAUGCAGUGUACCCGCGGCAAGACGGAAAGACCCCGUGAACCUUUACUAUAGCUUGACACUGAACAUUGAGCCUUGAUGUGUAGGAUAGGUGGGAGGCUUGGAAGUGUGGACGCCAGUCUGCAUGGAGCCGACCUUGAAAUACCACCCUUUAAUGUUUGAUGUUCUAACGUUGACCCGUAAUCCGGGUUGCGGACAGUGUCUGGUGGGUAGUUUGACUGGGGCGGUCUCCUCCUAAAGAGUAACGGAGGAGCACGAAGGUUGGCUAAUCCUGGUCGGACAUCAGGAGGUUAGUGCAAUGGCAUAAGCCAGCUUGACUGCGAGCGUGACGGCGCGAGCAGGUGCGAAAGCAGGUCAUAGUGAUCCGGUGGUUCUGAAUGGAAGGGCCAUCGCUCAACGGAUAAAAGGUACUCCGGGGAUAACAGGCUGAUACCGCCCAAGAGUUCAUAUCGACGGCGGUGUUUGGCACCUCGAUGUCGGCUCAUCACAUCCUGGGGCUGAAGUAGGUCCCAAGGGUAUGGCUGUUCGCCAUUUAAAGUGGUACGCGAGCUGGGUUUAGAACGUCGUGAGACAGUUCGGUCCCUAUCUGCCGUGGGCGCUGGAGAACUGAGGGGGGCUGCUCCUAGUACGAGAGGACCGGAGUGGACGCAUCACUGGUGUUCGGGUUGUCAUGCCAAUGGCACUGCCCGGUAGCUAAAUGCGGAAGAGAUAAGUGCUGAAAGCAUCUAAGCACGAAACUUGCCCCGAGAUGAGUUCUCCCUGACUCCUUGAGAGUCCUGAAGGAACGUUGAAGACGACGACGUUGAUAGGCCGGGUGUGUAAGCGCAGCGAUGCGUUGAGCUAACCGGUACUAAUGAACCGUGAGGCUUAACCUU
RNAcentral lists this ribosomal RNA (2906 nucleotides) under Escherichia coli. RNAcentral's name for it is "23S ribosomal RNA". It matches the Rfam family "Bacterial large subunit ribosomal RNA". The record is from RNAcentral. Lineage: Bacteria; Pseudomonadati; Pseudomonadota; Gammaproteobacteria; Enterobacterales; Enterobacteriaceae.